This 520-nucleotide unclassified non-coding RNA is filed under the name uncultured Glomus. RNAcentral's name for it is "SSU rRNA". It matches the Rfam family "Eukaryotic small subunit ribosomal RNA", at positions 569 to 1089 of the family's 1831-position model. Lineage: Eukaryota; Fungi; Glomeromycota; Glomeromycetes; Glomerales; Glomeraceae. The record is from RNAcentral.
AGCAGCCGCGGUAAUUCCAGCUCCAAUAGCGUAUAUUAAAGUUGUUGCAGUUAAAAAGCUCGUAGUUGAAUUUCGGGGUUAGUAGGUUGGUCAUGCCUCUGGUAUGUACUGGUCUCACUGAUUCCUCCUUCCUGAUGAGCCGUAAUGCCAUUAAUUUGGUGUUGCGGGGAAUUUGGACUGUUACUUUGAAAAAAUUAGAGUGUUUAAAGCAAGCUAACGCUUGAAUACAUUAGCAUGGAAUAAUGAAAUAGGACGUUCGAUCCUAUUUUGUUGGUUUCUAGGAUUGACGUAAUGAUUAAUAGGGAUAGUUGGGGGCAUUAGUAUUCAAUUGUCAGAGGUGAAAUUCUUGGAUUUAUUGAAGACUAACUACUGCGAAAGCAUUUGCCAAGGAUGUUUUUCAUUAAUCAAGAACGAAAGUUAGGGGAUCGAAGACGAUCAGAUACCGUCGUAGUCUUAACCAUAAACUAUGCCGACUAGGGAUCGGAUGAUGUUAAUUUUUUAAUGACUCAUUCGGCGCCUU